Mauremys mutica (yellowpond turtle) is the source of this 870-nucleotide long non-coding RNA. RefSeq lists it as uncharacterized. Lineage: Eukaryota; Metazoa; Chordata; Testudines; Geoemydidae. The transcript has 5 exons. The record is from RefSeq and is a predicted model, not a curated record.
CGCACGCUGAGCCGCCGCCGCCGCCGCCUUCCCGCCAAUUCCAACGUUCGGUUCCGCCUCGCGCACAGUCCGAGAAGGGAGCUGGGUGCGGGUCUCGGCCGCGGGUUUGCAGGGGCUGGUUUCUGGGCUCUGCUUGCUGUUACACACCCUCCAUUUCCCGGGUGCCUCCCUGUGCUUAUGUGUAAAAUCAUUAGAAAAGAAAAAUAAAUAUGCAGGAGGAAGGUGCUCGCACCACCCGCAAAUUGCCUCAACUGCCCUUCAGUUAUGGCCUGAGUCCCAAACAGCGGCGCUGGUUGCACUAGUGCUGGCCUUGGCUUCUCACUAAAACCAGGGCAGGUUCUGUUUGGACUCAGACGUUCUCAGAAUUACCCUGCCAACAUUGACCUACACUCCAGUUCCAUUUCCUUGGGAAAAAUUUGGAUUCUUCAAACCUUAAAUAAAAUUCCCAAUCAAAAGAUGGAGAUAUCAGUAUUUUAUGGUCAAAUAUGAGAUUGUCUUAAUAAUCCCCAAAUGAAAUGUUAUAAACCCAGGAAAUUCAGAGUUAUGUUUAAAAUGAAAAGGAAUCCAAGCAUAUUAAGGUAUUCCACAGUUAACAGAUCUUGUUAACUCAAACUACAAUAUAAACAGAAGACGACUUCCCAGUAGACAAAAGUUAAGAAGAUGUUCUUCUGUAAUUCCUACAUGAAACCCAGAACUUCCGGUGGAGCUAGAGCAUAUCUUUUUGAAACUAUUCUGUGUUGACUGAAAGACUUCAAGUGAUGGAGAAUUCAUCACAUUUUUAUACCAGAGAUACCAAGACAGGCAACAUGCCAAGGAGAAAAGAAAAACACUAUUUCUGGCCAUUUAUUCCUGUGGUACUAUAAAGAUUGU